Molecule: ribosomal RNA, 1506 nt
Filed under: Pomacea canaliculata
Lineage: Eukaryota; Metazoa; Mollusca; Gastropoda; Architaenioglossa; Ampullariidae
Description: 18S ribosomal RNA
Rfam family: Eukaryotic small subunit ribosomal RNA (bases 3-978)
Source: RNAcentral
UUGUGGUUGAUCCUGCCAGUAGUCAUAUGCUUGUCUCAAAGAUUAAACCAUGCAUGUCUACACACCCUCGUACGGUGAACCCGCGAAAGGCUCAUUAAAUCAGUCGAGGUUCCUUAGAUGAUCCAUUUCUACUUGGAUAACUGAGGCAAUUCUAGAGCUAAUACAUGCAAACCAGCUACGACCCGGUGUCAAAGCCAGGAAAGAGCGCUUUUAUUAGUUCAAAUCCAGUCGGGGCCCCGUCCCUUUUGGUGACUGGAUAACUUUGUGCCGAUCGCAUGGCCUAGAGCCGGGGACGCAUCUUUCAAAUGUCUGCCUUAUCAAAUGUCGAUGGUACGUGAUAGGCCUACCAUGUUGACUAUGGGGAAUCAGGGUUCGAUUCCGGAGAGGGAGCAUGAGAAACUGCUACCACAUCCAAGGCGCGCAACUUACCCCGGGGAGGUAGUGACGAAAAAUAACAAUACAGGAACUCUUUUGAGGCUCCGCAAUUGGAAUCAGCACACUUUAAACCAUUUAACGAGGAUCAACUGGAGGGCAAGUCUGGUGCCAGCAGCCGCGGUAAUUCCAGCUCCAAUAGCGUAUAUUAAAGUUGUUGCGAUUAAAAAGCUCGUAGUUGGAUCUCAGGCAUACUUUGAAGAAAUUAGAGUGUUCAAAGCAGGCUCGUCAGCCUGAAUAAUGGUGCAUGGAAUAACGGAAUAGCACCUCGCUUCUAUUUUGCUGGUUUUGGGCACACGAGUUAAUGAUUAAGAGGGUCAGACGGGGGCAUCCGUAUUGCGGUGUCAGAGGUGAAAUUCUUGGAUUAUCGCAAGACGUACAACUGCGGAAGCAUUUGCCAUUAGUCAAGAACGACAGUCAGAGGUUCGAAGACGAUCAGAUACUGUCGUAGUUCUGACCAUAAACGAUGCCAACUAGCGUUCCGCAGGUGUUGCAUCAUCGCCUCUGCGGUUGCAACUCUGAAAUUACAGGAAUUGACGGGGAUAGCCUCAGGCAACCACCGGCAGAAACCGGAUGAAGUCGGAGGUUUAUUCGGGAGCCGAGGCAUUAGUUAAGAAACAUUCAGUGCCCACGGGGGGGUCCUUUAUGGCCCUACCCAAUAACACUGGGGCAAUAUCAACCAGAAGGAAAGGAUGUAACGGGAAUGAUAUUCCUCUAGCCCUCGGAUGUUCGUACUGCCAGCGAUGGUACGCGGUGGUACCACGGCCGCGACUGUGAGCAAAACCAAGCACAUCGUCGGCAGCCGUUAACAAUACUUGCAGGCUGAGAGGGCAGCCGUGAACUUGAAACGAAGGUCUGGGUGGGAUGCGUCCACCGCCUAUACCCAUGUACCGCUGGCCUGUCGCUUGUGAAAAAGCGUCUUAAUUAGAGACUUAGUCAGCCUAGGGGAGAAGACCCAGAAUUAGAAACCGGGUGUAGCCCGCUAAACAAUCAUUUUUAAUCUAGCUCAAGCUAAAUCACUUUUGCAUGUUAAAGCUUAGGGUUUCCUGAUUUUCACCAGGUCAAGGAAAAGUC